This is a non-coding RNA of Kogia breviceps (pygmy sperm whale), 5092 nucleotides long. The record is from RefSeq and is a predicted model, not a curated record. NCBI's taxonomy places the organism in Eukaryota, Metazoa, Chordata, Mammalia, Artiodactyla, Physeteridae.
GUGUGGAGGAGACCCCAGUUGAGGCAGAACAUUGCAGGUAAAGAAGGGGAAGAAGAGGCCGAGAAGUCGAGGGCCAGACUGUGAAGGAGAAUAAAGGAGGUCAAAGAGAGGUCAUAUCGUCGUACCUCACUUCCUGACACAAACAAGUUUUUACUGUUGUCAGCAACAAAGCCCUAAUAUAGCUGCGGAAGAGAAAAACUGCAUUGCAUUUGCCUCCUGCAAGCAUCAUCAACACGGUUACCGGAGGAAUGUAAUUCCAGAAAAGCUUUAAAGCUGGUGUGAUGGUAAUUAUGUAUCAAAUGCCUGAUUCUAUUUCUGUUAUUAUUUUGUCAUUUCUGAUCUACUCAAGAGCAGGCUGAACUCGCAGAGGGACAAAUCCAGUUUUUCUUUUUCCCUUGGUAAAAUUUAAUCGGACCUGAUACAAAACUCAUUGCUCUUGGGGAAAAUAAAGUAGGAGCCGCGAAAUGUAAUUUUAACAGAGCGUGGGUUUUGUGACUGUAGGAAAGGAUUUAAGGACGCGCCUUCUGUUCGGUUUCCUAUGUAAUGAGCAAAGGCUACACGCACGCACAGACGCCACAGCUCCCGGAUGCUGUGGCUCACUUAUCUGGGCUUCUGCAGCGCCAGAAGCCCCUCCGGGAUGCUGCGAGGGGCUCUCGGUGGGUGGUGGUACAAACGCUGCGGCCGCUGCCGCCAGUCCUGCCGCUGCUGUUGUUGCUGCUGCAGUCACGUGGGAGGCCCUUUAAGUUUCCAUAGAGAGGCCUCUCCGGUGUCACAUGAUGGACAUGAUAUAAUGAAACAACAUUGUGGAGAGGAAAGCAUUAGGGGAGCCCACGGCUACAAAAACAAGUGAGUGAGAAGAGGUGGGAGGAAGAGAAACUACGCCACCUCCCCUGCAGCCGAGCCGCACGCAGCAGCAGCCCGCGGGAAGUGGGCGACGCCGGGGGGGAAGGGAGACCCGGUCCCCAGCCCCGUCCCGGGGACCCCGCUGCCCACCGCCAAGAGAACAACUUUUAGCCGGCAGCCUCGGCCAGCACUGCACCUGUCUCCGGAGCCUCCAUCGCUCCUCGUGAUGAUCAAAGGGGCAUUCUAGAAGAAUAUAUUCUACAAAUAUACAUGCGCAUCAUUUUCCCCCUUGCGUCUCGCUCCGGAGGAAGGAAAGAGAAAGGGAUUUAAGUAGCAGCGUGUGUUCAGCCCCAAGCUUGCCUUUCUUCAGAGAGAGUCUGAGGCAACCCUACAGCAAAAAUACAUAAAAUGAAAAAGCAUAUAACAGAAAAUCAGAAAUAAGAAAAAGGGUGAAAAGAGCUGGGAUAUUUUAUCAACUGGAGUUUCUCUGCCUCGCUGAUGAUCUAAGCUCAAACCUGCCAGUUUCUGGGAGAUGAUAGAAAACGCCCUCUAACAUCUGAGUUGCAAAAAUAUCUGCCUCUAAGAACUCAGGAGGACCUACUUUGUGGGAGCAAAGGUAGUGAGUCAUACCCGCAAGCUUGGAAACGAGUGUUCACUUGCGCCUCUUCAUCCAGUCGGGACGUUUCCUCGGCAACCAUUUAUGCAGCAAUUAAAAGAUGAGUUAAGAGGAGAAAAUGGAAGAAACGGAGGUAACUUUUAAUGGAACAGAAUAAACCACUGAACAGGGAAGGAAGAAAGGAUGGAGUUUGAACUGAUUUGCUGGGAAUCAUGUUCAGAAUGCAUCCAGGAUAUCGAAGUGUAAAAGGGUGCCUUGAUUUUCCCACUGAGAAAAGUGAGGAGGCUGCGAUACACCUGUGGACAGGGUCAGAAGCUUUACUUCUCAGCUCAGAACUUGCCAUGUCUCUUUCCGGCUCAGGAAGUACGAUGCUCCACACAGACAGGCGUCGAUGUACGAGAAAGUUAAUGGCGCAGAAUGCUGCUGACUGCAUGGUUCUCCUCUUAAUACAUUUUCCAGCCUUGAACCUGAGAAUGCCAGAGGCUCAAGUCUCUGAAUGCUCGUCUGAGCCGUUAUCUGCUGGUGGCCUGGUUCCUGAGCUAACAAGUGGGUGUCCCAGGCGUGCGUGUGGUAAUAGCAGCAGUGGUGCCACGUGGCGCCCAGAGGUCGCCUUGGUCUGUCCUGGAGAUUCCUGGUCCUCAGUGAAGCUUCUGAGUUGAACUGUGAACUUGGGGCAUCCUGAGAAGCGCAGGCAUUUUGGCGUUCCACAGCAAACCUGGAUGUUAAGUGUAAACACAGCUUAUAAAGUGAAAGCAGGGGCCUUGAGGAAGGGAAUUACCCUCAUCUCGUUCCCGACCUGCUUACUGUGCUGGAAAACAAAGUUCCAGUGCCUCUCUCAGAAGAUCCCUGAGGCCCGCUUCUCUGCCCUGGACCACGUCUUUACCUGUGUUCCUCCCUUUUCCUCGUCUGUUCAUCUGCUGACACCUGUGCAUUCUUAGGAGUCGUCUCAGACAUAAGCUACCUGAAAGGGGAGACUUUUUUUCUCUGUGUCACAAUGUCUGGCAUAUCACUGUUGCUCACCACUAUAGAGGGAAUAAAGGGAGACAGGAUAAAAGCAGGCCAAGACCCAGAUCACCGACUGAUUCUUCCUGGGCAUGAUGGAGCUCAGGAAAGAACUAAGCUAAGCUCCAGGCCCAAGAGCAAAGGCACAGCCAGUCAGUGCGGGCGAAGAGAAGUCCAUCACCUCGCGGAGCUGGCCAGCUAAGCUCUCCUUCCAGCCCGCCCUCCUGCUUCUCACUCAGAAUGCUUCUGUGGAAGAGUCCAGGCUCCGUGGCAGGACCCACCCACCUAUAUUGCACACCUUUUUGAUAUGUGCCCUAAGUACCGUCCAGAGUCUAGGUCUCAAGAAUUAUUUGCUGAUGGACUUAAUAACUUAUUUGACAGGCGGCAAGAGCACAUCCUGAAGAGUCAAUUAAGAUCUGUGUUAAAUCAACUGUACUUCAAUUUUUAAAAAAAAGAACAAGGAAGGGAAAAAAAUGGCGUGCGUUUCUGACCGUCUGUGGGUAUGAGGCACUGCGCUGGCCUCUGUGGGCCAGCAGGGAGAAGGCAUUGUUCUGUGCCUGCAAGGAACUGACCGUCUAGCAGUCUAGCUGGGGAGAAGACAGAGCACGCAGGCCACGUUAGGGAACGAGAUAGCAGAUGUGAACGUGUCACAGGCAGUGUGUGAUUAAUUGCCAAACGAAGAGCUCAAGAACGUGGUGGGGAUUGAGCAAGAUAAUGUAUGUCCAAGUGCCUCAGCCCUUCAGCGCCCCUGAGCCCAGCCAGCCCUGCCGUCCGCCUCUCUCACACACCCUGUUGAUCCACCGCAUACGAUGUAGGUACCUGGCCAGUGCAAAGCCCCUCAUGCCCAGGCCCCAGCCCACCUCCCAGCCCCGUGUGCCCCCCAACCCUUCAACCCAAUGCUGCAGAGAUACCGAAGAGAACUCGCCAUCUUAUUUCUGUAGCGCCCACCAUCCUUCCUUGUCCAAACUUGUCCCUCCGUUAAAACCCUCCUUUUCCUUUAAAAUUCAGCCUAGAGUUCCUCCGUAAAGCCUGCUGGGUCUGCAGGCAGAGCUCCUUCCACAUGCUAGGCGGCGAUGCUCGCGUGCUUCUGUCCUGCCGGGGAUGUAAACUCCUGCCGCAGGGACAGUGUCUUUUCCCUUCAUUCUCGGAGCACCUGACAUGCUGUCUGACGUGGAGCACACGUCCCUUAAGUGUUUUUCGUUGACAGAAAGGACUUAACACAUUGGAAGGACUGAGCAAACAUCGGUUGGCUUUGCACGGUUAAGACGUAAGUGCUGUGACUGCAGGAGAGGGUGACAUGCCUGAGUGGUCCAGGGAGGCUCCGUAGAGCGAGAAGGGAAUAGAGAACUGAACCUUCGUGGUUUUGUACACCUAAAACAGGCAAGGAAUGAGAAGGAUCCUGGGUGGAGUAGCUCAGUGUCUGUGGCUGCUGGCAACCCAACCGGCCUCUCAAAAGAGAAAAACAGACCAGAGGGAGGGAGCCCCGCAGAGUGGGGCGGUGGAGGCAUCCGAUUUUAGUUGGAGCAGAGGGUUUACCUAAAGGAAGUCGAGAGAAUGCCCUGGAGGAAGUUUGGACUUAGGUGGAGGAAAGACCUCAAAAGCAAUGGGCUAUCUUGCUGGCAGCAGACGCCCUUUGUUACUUUGGAAAACCAUGGUGACUUGAUCAAAGUGGUGUUGAAAGUGGGAGCUGCCCUGUGGCCCUGGCUUCCUUUUGUACUGCAGCCAGAGGCCCAGGUGGUGACCAAGAUGCUUAGCCCCCAGGUGUGAAGCCCCUCUGCUACGCAGAGCCUCACCCGGAAAGGCUCUAGAAACAAAGGUUUUCCUUCUGACGCUGCCCUUGACCUGGCUCUGAGCUGUUGAUUCUUUGGGUCCAUUCAGCUCUGUCCUGUCCUUCUACCCUCGUGACUGGCAAUGACCUGGAGAGUGGCAGCACCCCUGCAGCAGGUGGCCUCCAGAGCUGAGUCACCGCCCUGGGAACGGUGCCCUGGCAAACCGGGAGCUCUGCACUUCACCCGGCUCUGCAAGGCUCUCAGGGUACCGCCAGAGCUGCGGAGAAAGCUUCAUGCAUCUAGAGUGUCACCAAGCUGAUAGGAAAGUGAAAUAAAGGCAGUUGAAGACCAAAAAGGAAACUGUCCUAAUGGUAGUUUCUAGCUGGUAUGUUUGGCAAAGUACAAAGAGUUUUUCUCACAAGUAUACUUAACGGGCUGUGGUGGUUUUAUUUGAACAUACCAAAAUUAUCCAUUUACGGAUAUCUUUAAGAAUGGAAUGAAGAGGAUUUUAAAACGAUGGUUGGAGAUUCUGUUAGACCUUGUAAAUUAAGAGAGCUGAAGGAAUGAAAGUGAUAUGAAGAGAUAUCUUAAGCUGUCACUAUUCUCGGAAAUGAGCAAAUGAGGUUUAGGGGUUCUUUAAGUUUUCUUUAUCAAUCAUAGAUACUCUGAUGGCUGUUGUUUUUAAAAAAUUAUGGUGCUUUUAGUUCAUCCCAGAGAAGAUAAAAAUGUAGUGUUGUUCUUGAAAGGAGGGUUGGUUUGUUUUUGUUUUUGAUGUUUUUUUUGUUGUGUUUAAGUCCGGCUUGUUUACUACACCAAUGAAUAGAGAUGACCUCAGUCUAAAAAAACAAGUUAACCAUAAUCU